Homo sapiens (human) is the source of this 501-nucleotide long non-coding RNA. Ensembl annotates it as long intergenic non-protein coding RNA 2027. The record is from Ensembl. NCBI's taxonomy places the organism in Eukaryota, Metazoa, Chordata, Mammalia, Primates, Hominidae.
AGUACGGAGUGAAAUUGUGAUAACUCCUGGCACAACCAUUAAGACCCUCAUCUAUAGUGGACUGGAACAAAGCACAGAACUUAUAAAAAAGAAAAAAGUGCACAUUCAGUUUAAUGAGGUGUUAAUUCAAGGAAUGCUGUGAGAGUCAGAAGUUCUAAAUGCCAGUGUUUAAAAAGAUCCAUGUCACAGUGAUCUUGGGUAGGCUGGGACACACCAGCUCACUGACGGACCUGAAAAUGGAUUGCUGUGGGACUACAACCCUACUCAGGAUAUUCUGAGUUAUAAGUGGUGACUGUAACACAGAUUGAUGAAAGAUUCUGCAGGACGACAAAGGUUAAAGAUGUAGACCCGGAGCUAGAAGCCAGCACUGACACUGAUGGAGUGGACUGCGAUGAGAAUGCCCACAUUAUUGUCCUAUCCUCUGAUAACCAAUGUAAUAUGAAAACCGACUACAGAAGAAAGGAACAAAUUAAAUCCAUUAAUCAAGCAUAUCUCUGCUAA